Long non-coding RNA from Perognathus longimembris pacificus (Pacific pocket mouse), 448 nucleotides. RefSeq lists it as uncharacterized. The transcript is spliced from 3 exons. Lineage: Eukaryota; Metazoa; Chordata; Mammalia; Rodentia; Heteromyidae. The record is from RefSeq and is a predicted model, not a curated record.
UCCAGCUGCCACCUCACUAAACCCAAGCCGUGGAUUCCAGUUAUGUGUUUGCUGGAAAUUGUCCUUACUUGGGCCCUUCCCAAGAGGGUUGAGCGCACAGGGAGGAGGUACUGGGGAUAGAGCCGGGGUUGUUUGUUGAGUUGAGAGCCUGGGGCCACACACAUGUUGAGCAAGGCUCUGCCCUUGAGCUACACAUGCAGCUGUGGGCACUGGGAUUUUACACAGCUGCCCCCUCUACCUUGCUUAGAGUUAUAUCUAACCCUGUGCUAGAAUCCCAGUGCCCUUCCUGGGGUCACCUUGGGAGGCCCUGCACUUACUGUGCCCUCUUUGCUUAAAACUUUUUGGGGAAACUGUGGGGUUUUUUGAAUUACACAAAAUUCUAGUGUGUGAUCCCCACACCCCUGCAGAGAUGCUGUCUCAGGCAUCCUUAGGGUUGAACCACUCAUUC